CAUUACUGAACUGUCGACACGAGUUGUUGCUGGUCCUCAAAUGGGGGGCAUGUGCACACUCUGUUUACACAUCCACUCACACCUGUGCACCCUCUGUAGUUCUGUGGUGUGGGGGACUCUGUCCUCCUGCUGUGGUUCUAUGUCUUUACACACACACACUGUAAUAAAAGUCUCAUGGAAUGUAUACCGCGUUUAGCGCAAUACAAUACAACUUUCAGCAACGGAUCUCUUGGCUCUCGCAUCGAUGAAGAACGCAGCGAAAUGCGAUAAGUAAUGUGAAUUGCAGAAUUCAGUGAAUCAUCGAAUCUUUGAACGCACCUUGCGCCCUUUGGCUAUUCCGAAGGGCAUGCCUGUUUGAGUAUCAUGAACACCUCAACUCUCAUGGUUUGCCGUGAUGAGCUUGGACUUUGGGGGUCUUGCUGGCCUAUGGUCAGCUCCUCUUAAAUGAAUCAGCUUGCCAGUGUUUGGUGGCAUCACAGGUGUGAUAACUAUCUACGCUUGUGGUUUUCCACCAGGUAACCUUCAGUAAUAGAGGUUCGCUGGGGCUCAUAAAGGUCUCUCCUCAGUGAGGACAGCUUUUGAACAUUUGAUCUCAAAUCAGGUAGGACUACCCGCUGAACUUAA
Molecule: ribosomal RNA, 624 nt
Filed under: uncultured Thelephoraceae
Lineage: Eukaryota; Fungi; Basidiomycota; Agaricomycetes; Thelephorales; Thelephoraceae
Description: eukaryotic LSU rRNA
Rfam family: 5.8S ribosomal RNA (bases 210-364)
Source: RNAcentral